GCGCAAGCGCAUUUGCGACUUGCCGUUACCAUAGCGACGAGGCCUCCCGGCAGGCAAAUCCUAGCUGCCUUGACAACAUCCUUGGGCAUCUGCAGCUCCGGAGGCCCUGGAAACUGCCGGCCUUUGCAGAGCUCGGCCCGUGGUGUAGUUCCCAUCAUUCUCCAGAAGCCACACAACAGCAAGGGGUUGUAAGAAAGUCCUUACGAGUUUCGCCAAUAACUUCAGUCUGGAGUGAAUCCGAUGUGUCUGCUUACUAGCCAGAAUCCAUCUCUUGUGUAACUUGACAGUCAGUAGCAGACACCAUGUUGUACUGGAAUUGAGCCCAGGACCUUGUGCAUGCCAGGCAAG
Long non-coding RNA from Peromyscus eremicus (cactus mouse), 348 nucleotides. RefSeq lists it as uncharacterized. The transcript is spliced from 4 exons. The record is from RefSeq and is a predicted model, not a curated record. Lineage: Eukaryota; Metazoa; Chordata; Mammalia; Rodentia; Cricetidae.